RNAcentral lists this long non-coding RNA (345 nucleotides) under Zalophus californianus (California sea lion). Its description in RNAcentral is "lncRNA (ENSZCAG00015004368.1)". The record is from RNAcentral. Lineage: Eukaryota; Metazoa; Chordata; Mammalia; Carnivora; Otariidae.
AUUUGGUUUCCUAAAGAGAAAAAAUCAUCUGUGUAAACACUGUAUAGUGUGAUGUGUUCCUCAUACUGUUUUCGUUCCUCUAAUUGCAGGUGGAUGCAGAAGGGAACAAAAAGGUCCCACCCCUUUUAUUUUAUAAAGAUUUACUUUCAUAGGCCUACUGUGACCAAAGAAGAAGAUUUGGUUGUGGAGAACCUGGAAGAUGAUUCGAGUCAGAUGGUGGAAGACUCUCCAGAUCCGAACAGCACUCAGAUAGGACUCAACGGGAGAGGGUUCCAGGUGAUGAAGAAGGUGGGGCUGCCCUGGCUGCUUUGGAGAACCACCCAGAUUCCAGAUUCCCACUGGUAA